GACGAACGCUGGCGGCGUGCUUAACACAUGCAAGUCGAACGGAAAGGCCCUGCUUGCAGGGUACUCGAGUGGCGAACGGGUGAGUAACACGUGGGUGAUCUGCCCUGCACUUCGGGAUAAGCCUGGGAAACUGGGUCUAAUACCGGAUGGGAGCCAUUUUUAGUGUGAUGGUUGGAAAGUUUUUUCGGUGUAGGAUGAGCUCGCGGCCUAUCAGCUUGUUGGUGGGGUAAUGGCCUACCAAGGCGGCGACGGGUAGCCGGCCUGAGAGGGUGGACGGCCACAUUGGGACUGAGAUACGGCCCAGACUCCUACGGGAGGCAGCAGUGGGGAAUAUUGCACAAGGGGCGCAAGCCUGAUGCAGCGACGCCGCGUGGGGGAUGACGGCCUUCGGGUUGUAAACUCCUUUCGCUAGGGACGAAGCUUUUUGUGACGGUACCUAGAUAAGAAGCACCGGCUAACUACGUG
RNAcentral lists this ribosomal RNA (465 nucleotides) under uncultured bacterium. RNAcentral's name for it is "partial 16S ribosomal RNA". It matches the Rfam family "Bacterial small subunit ribosomal RNA", at positions 28 to 507 of the family's 1533-position model. The record is from RNAcentral.